RNAcentral lists this ribosomal RNA (2926 nucleotides) under Salmonella enterica subsp. enterica serovar Newport str. USDA-ARS-USMARC-1927. RNAcentral's name for it is "bacterial LSU rRNA". It matches the Rfam family "Bacterial large subunit ribosomal RNA". Lineage: Bacteria; Pseudomonadati; Pseudomonadota; Gammaproteobacteria; Enterobacterales; Enterobacteriaceae. The record is from RNAcentral.
GGGUUGUGAGGUUAAGCGACUAAGCGUACACGGUGGAUGCCCUGGCAGUCAGAGGCGAUGAAGGGCGUGCUAAUCUGCGAUAAGCGCCGGUAAGGUGAUAUGAACCGUUAUAACCGGCGAUACCCGAAUGGGGAAACCCAGUGUGAUUCGUCACACUAUCAUUAACUGAAUCCAUAGGUUAAUGAGGCGAACCGGGGGAACUGAAACAUCUAAGUACCCCGAGGAAAAGAAAUCAACCGAGAUUCCCCCAGUAGCGGCGAGCGAACGGGGAGGAGCCCAGAGCCUGAAUCAGCAUGUGUGUUAGUGGAAGCGUCUGGAAAGGCGCGCGAUACAGGGUGACAGCCCCGUACACAAAAGCGCAUGUGUUGUGAGCUCGAUGAGUAGGGCGGGACACGUGGUAUCCUGUCUGAAUAUGGGGGGACCAUCCUCCAAGGCUAAAUACUCCUGACUGACCGAUAGUGAACCAGUACCGUGAGGGAAAGGCGAAAAGAACCCCGGCGAGGGGAGUGAAAAAGAACCUGAAACCGUGUACGUACAAGCAGUGGGAGCACCCUUUGGGGUGUGACUGCGUACCUUUUGUAUAAUGGGUCAGCGACUUAUAUUCUGUAGCAAGGUUAACCGAAUAGGGGAGCCGGAGGGAAACCGAGUCUUAAUUGGGCGUUAAGUUGCAGGGUAUAGACCCGAAACCCGGUGAUCUAGCCAUGGGCAGGUUGAAGGUUGGGUAACACUAACUGGAGGACCGAACCGACUAAUGUUGAAAAAUUAGCGGAUGACCUGUGGCUGGGGGUGAAAGGCCAAUCAAACCGGGAGAUAGCUGGUUCUCCCCGAAAGCUAUUUAGGUAGCGCCUCGUGAAUUCAUCUCCGGGGGUAGAGCACUGUUUCGGCUAGGGGGCCAUCCCGGCUUACCAACCCGAUGCAAACUGCGAAUACCGGAGAAUGUUAUCACGGGAGACACACGGCGGGUGCUAACGUCCGUCGUGAAGAGGGAAACAACCCAGACCGCCAGCUAAGGUCCCAAAGUCAUGGUUAAGUGGGAAACGAUGUGGGAAGGCCCAGACAGCCAGGAUGUUGGCUUAGAAGCAGCCAUCAUUUAAAGAAAGCGUAAUAGCUCACUGGUCGAGUCGGCCUGCGCGGAAGAUGUAACGGGGCUAAACCAUGCACCGAAGCUGCGGCAGCGACACUGUGUGUUGUUGGGUAGGGGAGCGUUCUGUAAGCCUGUGAAGGUGUGUCGUGAGGCAUGCUGGAGGUAUCAGAAGUGCGAAUGCUGACAUAAGUAACGAUAAAGCGGGUGAAAAGCCCGCUCGCCGGAAGACCAAGGGUUCCUGUCCAACGUUAAUCGGGGCAGGGUGAGUCGACCCCUAAGGCGAGGCCGAAAGGCGUAGUCGAUGGGAAACGGGUUAAUAUUCCCGUACUUGGUGUUACUGCGAAGGGGGGACGGAGAAGGCUAUGUUGGCCGGGCGACGGUUGUCCCGGUUUAAGCGUGUAGGUGUGUGUUCCAGGUAAAUCCGGUUCACUUUAACACUGAGGCGUGACGACGAGGCACUACGGUGCUGAAGCAACAAAUGCCCUGCUUCCAGGAAAAGCCUCUAAGCAUCAGGUAACAUCAAAUCGUACCCCAAACCGACACAGGUGGUCAGGUAGAGAAUACCAAGGCGCUUGAGAGAACUCGGGUGAAGGAACUAGGCAAAAUGGUGCCGUAACUUCGGGAGAAGGCACGCUGACACGUAGGUGAAGUGAUUUACUCAUGGAGCUGAAGUCAGUCGAAGAUACCAGCUGGCUGCAACUGUUUAUUAAAAACACAGCACUGUGCAAACACGAAAGUGGACGUAUACGGUGUGACGCCUGCCCGGUGCCGGAAGGUUAAUUGAUGGGGUCAGCGCAAGCGAAGCUCCUGAUCGAAGCCCCGGUAAACGGCGGCCGUAACUAUAACGGUCCUAAGGUAGCGAAAUUCCUUGUCGGGUAAGUUCCGACCUGCACGAAUGGCGUAAUGAUGGCCAGGCUGUCUCCACCCGAGACUCAGUGAAAUUGAACUCGCUGUGAAGAUGCAGUGUACCCGCGGCAAGACGGAAAGACCCCGUGAACCUUUACUAUAGCUUGACACUGAACAUUGAGCCUUGAUGUGUAGGAUAGGUGGGAGGCUUUGAAGCGUGGACGCCAGUCUGCGUGGAGCCGACCUUGAAAUACCACCCUUUAAUGUUUGAUGUUCUAACGUGGACCCGUGAUCCGGGUUGCGGACAGUGUCUGGUGGGUAGUUUGACUGGGGCGGUCUCCUCCUAAAGAGUAACGGAGGAGCACGAAGGUUGGCUAAUCCUGGUCGGACAUCAGGAGGUUAGUGCAAUGGCAUAAGCCAGCUUGACUGCGAGCGUGACGGCGCGAGCAGGUGCGAAAGCAGGUCAUAGUGAUCCGGUGGUUCUGAAUGGAAGGGCCAUCGCUCAACGGAUAAAAGGUACUCCGGGGAUAACAGGCUGAUACCGCCCAAGAGUUCAUAUCGACGGCGGUGUUUGGCACCUCGAUGUCGGCUCAUCACAUCCUGGGGCUGAAGUAGGUCCCAAGGGUAUGGCUGUUCGCCAUUUAAAGUGGUACGCGAGCUGGGUUUAGAACGUCGUGAGACAGUUCGGUCCCUAUCUGCCGUGGGCGCUGGAGAACUGAGGGGGGCUGCUCCUAGUACGAGAGGACCGGAGUGGACGCAUCACUGGUGUUCGGGUUGUCAUGCCAAUGGCACUGCCCGGUAGCUAAAUGCGGAAGAGAUAAGUGCUGAAAGCAUCUAAGCACGAAACUUGCCCCGAGAUGAGUUCUCCCUGAGACUUAAAGUCUCCUGAAGGAACGUUGAAGACGACGACGUUGAUAGGCCGGGUGUGUAAGCGCAGCGAUGCGUUGAGCUAACCGGUACUAAUGAACCGUGAGGCUUAACCUUACAACGCCGAAG